This 103-nucleotide non-coding RNA is filed under the name Nereida ignava. RNAcentral's name for it is "TPP sequence". It matches the Rfam family "TPP riboswitch aptamer (THI element)". Rfam says of the family: Vitamin B(1) in its active form thiamin pyrophosphate (TPP) is an essential coenzyme that is synthesised by coupling of pyrimidine and thiazole moieties in bacteria. The previously detected thiamin-regulatory element, thi box was extended, resulting in a new, highly conserved RNA secondary structure, the THI element, which is widely distributed in eubacteria and also occurs in some archaea. Analysis of operon structures identified a large number of new candidate thiamin-regulated genes, mostly transporters, in various prokaryotic organisms. The record is from Rfam by way of RNAcentral. Lineage: Bacteria; Pseudomonadati; Pseudomonadota; Alphaproteobacteria; Rhodobacterales; Roseobacteraceae.
CGCAAUCCGUCGGGGGGCCUAUUGCAGGCUGAGAGGUGCAGCGCACUGACCCGUCGAACCUGAUCCGGACAAUGCCGGCGUAGGGAACGGGUGACACGCGCCA